UACAGUCCAGCAUUCUGCUGGCCAGGCAGGUGACGGGAGGAGGAGCAGUAUUACAGUCCAGCAUUCUGCUGGCCAGGCAGGUGACGGGAGGAGGAGCAGUAUUACAGUCCAGCAUUCUGCUGGCCAGGCAGGUGACGGGAGGUGCUAGGAGCAGUAUUACAGUCCAGCAUUCUGCUGGCCAGGCAGGUGACGGGAGGAGCUAGGAGCAGUAUUACAGUCCAGCAUUCUGCUGGCCAGGCAGGUGACGGGAGGAGCUAGGAGCAGUAUUACAGUCCAGCAUUCUGCUGGCCAGGCAGGUGACGGGAGGAGGAGCAGUAUUACAGUCCAGCAUUCUGCUGGCCAGGCAGGUGACGGGAGGAGCUAGGAGCAGUAUUACAGUCCAGCAUUCUGCUGGCCAGGCAGGUGACGGGAGGAGCUAGGAGCAGUAUUACAGUCCAGCAUUCUGCUGGCCAGGCAGGUGACGGGAGGAGCUAGGAGCAGUAUUACAGUCCAGCAUUCUGCUGGCCAGGCAGGUGACGGGAGGAGCUAGGAGCAGUAUUACAGUCCAGCAUUCUGCUGGCCAGGCAGGUGACGGGAGGAGCUAGGAGCAGUACUACAGUCCAACAUUCUGCUGGCCAGGCAGGUGACGGGAGGAGGAGCAGUAUUACAGUCCAGCAUUCUGCUGGCCAGGCAGGUGACGGGAGGAGGAGCAGUAUUACAGUCCAGCAUUCUGCUGGCCAGGCAGGUGACGGGAGGAGCUAGGAGCAGUAUUACAGUCCAGCAUUCUGCUGGCCAGGCAGGUGACGGGAGGAGGAGCAGUAUUACAGUCCAGCAUUCUGCUGGCCAGGCAGGUGACGGGAGGAGGAGCAGUAUUACAGUCCAGCAUUCUGCUGGCCAGGCAGGUGACGGGAGGAGGAGCAGUAUUACAGUCCAGCAUUCUGCUGGCCAGGCAGGUGACGGGAAGAGGAGCAGUAUUACAGUCCAGCAUUCUGCUGGCCAGGCAGGUGACGGGAGGAGGAGCAGUACUACAGUCCAACAUUCUGCUGGCCAGGCAGGUGACGGGAGGAGGAGCAGUAUUACAGUCCAGCAUUCUGCUGGCCAGGCAGGUGACGGGAGGAGGAGCAGUAUUACAGUCCAGCAUUCUGCUGGCCAGGCAGGUGACGGGAGGAGGAGCAGUAUUACAGUCCAGCAUUCUGCUGGCCAGGCAGGUGACGGGAGGAGGAGCAGUAUUACAGUCCAGCAUUCUGCUGGCCAGGCAGGUGACGGGAGGAGGAGCAGUAUUACAGUACAGCAUUCUGCUGGCCAGGCAGGUGACGGGAGGAGGAGCAGUAUUACAGUCCAGCAUUCUGCUGGCCAGGCAGGUGACGGGAGGAGCUAGGAGCAGUAUUACAGUCCAGCAUUCUGCUGGCCAGGCAGGUGACGGGAGGAGCUAGGAGCAGUAUUACAGUCCAGCAUUCUGCUGGCCAGGCAGGUGACGGGAGGAGCUAGGAGCAGUACUACAGUCCAACAUUCUGCUGGCCAGGCAGGUGACGGGAGGAGCUAGGAGCAGUAUUACAGUCCAGCAUUCUGCUGGCCAGGCAGGUGACGGGAGGAGCUAGGAGCAGUAUUACAGUCCAGCAUUCUGCUGGCCAGGCAGGUGACGGGAGGAGGAGCAGUAUUACAGUCCAGCAUUCUGCUGGCCAGGCAGGUGACGGGAGGAGGAGCAGUAUUACAGUCCAGCAUUCUGCUGGCCAGGCAGGUGACGGGAGGAGGAGCAGUAUUACAGUCCAGCAUUCUGCUGGCCAGGCAGGUGACGGGAGGAGGAGCAGUAUUACAGUCCAGCAUUCUGCUGGCCAGGCAGGUGACGGGAGGAGGAGCAGUACUACAGUCCAGCAUUCUGCUGGCCAGGCAGGUGACGGGAGGAGGAGCAGUAUUACAGUCCAGCAUUCUGCUGGCCAGGCAGGUGACGGGAGGAGGAGCAGUAUUACAGUCCAGCAUUCUGCUGGCCAGGCAGGUGACGGGAGGAGGAGCAGUAUU
This is a long non-coding RNA of Salvelinus fontinalis (brook trout), 1995 nucleotides long. RefSeq lists it as uncharacterized. Lineage: Eukaryota; Metazoa; Chordata; Actinopteri; Salmoniformes; Salmonidae. The transcript is spliced from 3 exons. The record is from RefSeq and is a predicted model, not a curated record.